AGGAUAAUAGUUAAUUAUAACGUUUAAUUUGCAUUUAAAAAAUACUAAAUAAUCUUAGUUUAUCUUA
This 67-nucleotide transfer RNA is filed under the name Omorgus chinensis. Its description in RNAcentral is "tRNA-Ala". RNAcentral also lists the same sequence under 1 other name. Lineage: Eukaryota; Metazoa; Arthropoda; Insecta; Coleoptera; Trogidae. The record is from RNAcentral.